UUUCCGUAGGUGAACCUGCGGAAGGAUCAUUAUUGUAUAACCGAGGUGCGAGGGCUGUCGCUGACCCGAAAGGUCGUGCACGCCCGAGUGUGUCCUCUUGCAUAAUAAUCCAUCUCACCCUUUGUGCAUCACCGCGUGGGCACCCUUCGGGAUCAUCUCGGAGGGGGGCUCGCGUUUUCACACAAACCCCCCUUUUAAAAGUGUAGAAUGACCACAUUUAUGCAAUCAAUACAACUUUCAACAACGGAUCUCUUGGCUCUC
This 261-nucleotide unclassified non-coding RNA is filed under the name plant metagenome. Its description in RNAcentral is "partial contains small subunit ribosomal RNA, internal transcribed spacer 1, and 5.8S ribosomal RNA". The record is from RNAcentral.